Molecule: ribosomal RNA, 254 nt
Filed under: uncultured bacterium
Lineage: Bacteria
Description: partial 16S ribosomal RNA
Rfam family: Bacterial small subunit ribosomal RNA
Source: RNAcentral
UACGGAGGGUGCAAGCGUUAUCCGGAAUCAUUGGGUUUAAAGGGUCCGCAGGCGGAUUUAUAAGUCAGUGGUGAAAGCCCGUUGCUCAACAACGGAACUGCCUUGAUACUGUAAGUCUUGAAUUCGGUCGAAGUGGGCGGAAUAUGACAUGUAGCGGUGAAAUGCUUAGAUAUGUCAUAGAACACCGAUAGCGAAGGCAGCUCACUAGGCCUGGGAUUGACGCUCAGGGACGAAAGCGUGGGGAGCAAACAGGG